AUGCAGACCAGGCUGGCGUGCUAGCCCUACGCCACAUGCAAAUGGGCUUUAUGGCAAGCUCGAGAGGAGGCGUGACUUGCAACUUGUAAAGCCUUUUUGGCUGCGUCGAAGUCCUGUCCUGCUCGGUCUUGCUAUAGCGAAACAGUCGAGGCCCGGAAGGGUGCAGACUUAAGUUAUGGUUAAGGCGCUUGCAGGGUUGCAGGAUGGAGCAGACAGAAAGCCAACUUUGCAAGAAGCAAUAAGCAACUCCUCGGGUCUGCGC
This 262-nucleotide signal recognition particle RNA is filed under the name Candidatus Pacearchaeota archaeon. RNAcentral describes it as "signal recognition particle sRNA". It matches the Rfam family "Archaeal signal recognition particle RNA". The record is from RNAcentral. Lineage: Archaea; Nanobdellati.